Molecule: ribosomal RNA, 584 nt
Filed under: uncultured Rhizobium sp.
Lineage: Bacteria; Pseudomonadati; Pseudomonadota; Alphaproteobacteria; Hyphomicrobiales; Rhizobiaceae
Description: bacterial SSU rRNA
Rfam family: Bacterial small subunit ribosomal RNA
Source: RNAcentral
AGACGGGUGAGUAACGCGUGGGAAUCUACCUUUUGCUACGGAAUAACGCAGGGAAACUUGUGCUAAUACCGUAUGUGUCCUUCGGGAGAAAGAUUUAUCGGCAAGAGAUGAGCCCGCGUUGGAUUAGCUAGUUGGUGGGGUAAAGGCCUACCAAGGCGACGAUCCAUAGCUGGUCUGAGAGGAUGAUCAGCCACAUUGGGACUGAGACACGGCCCAAACUCCUACGGGAGGCAGCAGUGGGGAAUAUUGGACAAUGGGCGCAAGCUUGAUCCAGCCAUGCCGCGUGAGUGAUGAAGGCCCUAGGGUUGUAAAGCUCUUUCACCGGAGAAGAUAAUGACGGUAUCCGGAGAAGAAGCCCCGGCUAACUUCGUGCCAGCAGCCGCGGUAAUACGAAGGGGGCUAGCGUUGUUCGGAAUUACUGGGCGUAAAGCGCACGUAGGCGGAUCGAUCAGUCAGGGGUGAAAUCCCAGGGCUCAACCCUGGAACUGCCUUUGAUACUGUCGAUCUGGAGUAUGGAAGAGGUGAGUGGAAUUCCGAGUGUAGAGGUGAAAUUCGUAGAUAUUCGGAGGAACACCAGUGGCGAA